Molecule: long non-coding RNA, 5806 nt
Organism: Nymphaea colorata (pocket water lily)
Lineage: Eukaryota; Viridiplantae; Streptophyta; Magnoliopsida; Nymphaeales; Nymphaeaceae
Exons: 3
Source: RefSeq, a predicted model, not a curated record
GAUCUUCUUGAUCCAACUGUGAACUUCCAUGACAUGAACCUUGAACUUUCGUGGGAUUCCGGCCAUCUCCGGCAUCCGACGGGUUCUGGCGACAUCUGAUUAAUGGUGGUUUCAAAUGACCGGCAUGUCACCAUGGUAGGAGGGUGAGACCGCCUCAUGGUGACGUCCUCUCGCUAGCAUGGUGGCACCCAACUUCUUUUGCUAUUACCAUAGCAGAGGCGAGAUCACAGUUUUCCGACAAACGGUGAGGUGGAUGAAGUCAAACAGAGAGGAGAGGAGGACUGGCAAACCUCAGAUGGUGGAUGCCCUGAUCAUCUUUUAUUAGGGAACGCCAAAGCAAAAAAUCAAAAUUGAAAACAAAGAGCUUAGAUUAGCUCCGGCAGAUGCAGGGGUUAUUUGCGUCCUCCCAGAAAGGGAAAAUAGAGCAUACAAAAAAGAGAAGGACAAGGUGUCAUACAGCAAGGGAACUAGGCAUUCUUUACCUCCUGGCCACGGAAAAGCAGUAAAUUUGACCGAUAGCAGAUUGUGCCCUCAACGGUCCUCUUCCUCCUGAGCAAGACAGAAACCAAAUCUACUCAAUUAAGAAUGUUCAAGUUAGAUAGGUUGCUUUUUAAGAUGUAGAAGGCAAUGAGAUUUGCUAGAGUAGUUGAAGCCCCAAGUGUGAAUGCAUCAUUAUGUGAAGACUUUUAUUGACUAUUCUUGAGGUAAAUGUCUUAUGCUAUUGUAGUAUUAAUUAGUUGCUUGUAUUUGAGUUAUUGCUAGUCUCAUUAGUAUUAACAUGCACUUUAUUUGCAUAUAAAUUUUAGGCAACUGCCCAAUUUCAUUGACUUGUUAUAUUUUCAAAAUUUUGGCCAGCAAUUCAUGAAAGUUUACAAUGUUGUGAAGCAAUGUUGUAAAAGGCGAUAAGGCGAGGUGUUGAGCCUCUCAUGAGGCGUGGCAAGGCGAGGCAUUAAUUGAAGUGUAAGCUUCACAGAAAAAUUUGUGAAUUAUAUAAUAUUUAUAAAAGUAGCAACGAAAUUGAAAAAAAUGACUACGACACUAAGCAUAUCAAGGAAGAACAAUAUACAACAUGUGCAAACCACAAUAAUUUUUAAAUCCAAACAAACACAAUGUUAUAACAUACAUAGUACAAAGAGUGCUUGCAUAAUUGGCGCAUAGCAUGACCUGUCCUAAACACUUAAAUGUCAUAGAACUAUCAUUGAAAAAUAAAUAACCAAAACUAGGAAAACUAAGAUUCAUAUAAUAAUAUCAAUUACGAGAAUAAGUAAAUGAUAAGUAUUGUUGAACAAUAAUAUAAGCAUAUUGAAAUAUGUAUAUGUACAAAAAUUAAAAGAAAGUAAUUAAUUUGUGUAAUUUUCAAGUGCUAUUUAACAAAGUUAAAAUAACUUUUGUAAGCAAUUGGUCAAUUGUAUCUUCAUCAUUGUCAUAUUCUUUAAUGGAUGACAGUUCAUUGUCAUUUGAACCAUCCAAAUAUUGAAUAAGUUCAUCUUCCUCAUCAUCUAAACUCUCAUAUUCUAAAUCUUCUAUUAUUGUUUUACCUUCAUAUAAAAACACUAACACAUAACAAAAUUGAACAAUUAGUAAAGAAAAAGGACAAUGUUCUUAACUUUAUUUCAAAAAUUACAAACAUAUAGCAUUACCUUAGCCAACACUUUUCUUUUGAGAAGAUGAAACACUUUCUGUGUUCAUCUUCAUAUAUACAUGAUGAAAACCAAAGAAUUAAGUUUUGCUUGCUCAAUGAAAUUUCUUGUUUUUGUAUGUACCUAUCACGUAAUUCCAUUAGUUAAUCAUUUUGAUAAUUAUAAAAAAACAUUUGAAUGAUAGCAUAAUAAAUUAUUUGAAAGUUUCAUUUAUUUAGCAAAAAGAAUGAGCUGCAUUUACAUUCACAUCCUGAUGCACUAUAUGUAAGAUUGAGAAUUCUCAUAGCAAAAUUUUUCAAUUCUUUUGUAUUUUCGCCAAAUGUAUUCCACCAAUCAACUGACAAAAAUAAUGAGAAGAGUAGUUUAGAUAACUUCAUUUGAUCCGCUCAUAAGUUCAUAAUAUAAAUCAAAAGUGUAAAACAUUUGCAAAAAAAAACUGACCUAUGGCAGAAUGUACUUGCUUUCUUUCCUCUUUCUUGAUGGCAUUGUUGAUUGUUGGUUGUUGCAUAUCUAAAGUUAUAAAUUGAUCCAUUGGUCCUCAUGAAAUUCCAAAUGCAUGAACAUUGGGAGAUGUAAGGCCACCACUGGUCAUUCAUUCAUCCAAACAUUCAUUUCUAUGCAAUUCAAGAUUGUCUUUUUUUCUUUGUAUUUCACAUUUUUGUACCUGCAAAUAAUUAUUGAAAGAUUUUACAACAAUUUGUGGCUUUGUAACAUGCUUUAGCAACUUUUUUAGUUUCAGCCAAGUGUUGUUUCUUUAUUCAAACACCACCUUUAUAAGUUUCCUUACAACAAUAAUUUCAUAUCAAGUUUCCCAUUUUUUCUUUAUCAUCAUGAUCUUCUUCAAUGCAAUGUUUCAAUGCUGGAUCCCACCGUGACAUUUUUUCUCAAACCUAACAAUGUAUUACAAAUAUACUUCAAUAAGCAUCCAAUAAGUUCAAUUACAUUGUAUGCAAAAGCUCAAAUUACUAAGCAUACCCAAAUAUUAACAAUGCAUAAUGUAACAAAUAUUAACACCAUAGGACAAAUUUGAAUUAACAACAUAUUAGAAACUUAAUGCAAAACAAAUAUUGAAAAAACACAUAAAAAUAUAAAAGAAUUGUCUAGGACAAUGCAUCAAUUACCAUUGUCAUGUUCUUUAACAUGAUGUCAAAUCUAAAUAGAAGAGAAGAAGACAAGCAGCUCUUCCAAAAUGAGAACAUGUUUGAUCUAGAAAUAAAGAAAAAGAAAAAAAAAGAAAAAAAGCAUCCACAAAAAAAAACAUAUAAUAAAAAAGGUAAUUAUAGUAAUGUAAAUUUUCCAUGUUUUUUAUUUAUUUAUAUAAAACAAAAUAAUGUAAAAAAUAUUCUUCCAUUGAUUCGGUAAAGGAUUGAACAUAGCUGUCUACCAUGAAGCACAAAAAAAAAUAACAUGAACUAAGGCAUGAAAAAAAUUUGAAAGAAAAUAUAAUAAGUUAAAGAUGCGUUAAAUGCUAAGUCAUAAAGUAAGAAUACAAAUCCCAAAACAUAUAAUAAACUAAGACACCACUUGCGACACUUGGCAACAAUGGGAGGAGGACCACCAUCAAUGGAGUACAUGUCCAGACUUCAAAUGAUGACAAUAGUAAAAUAAAGAAGAACACGUAAUAUGAGUGCAAGGAUGGCAUGCAUGAAGAAAAUAAGUUCAAGGUCUUGAAUUUGUAAGCCACAUUACCACAACAUCAUAAGCCACAGCAAUGGCCAUGGUGAUACACACAAAGUAACAAAAGCGCCAUGUGGACACACUGUAUACCAUCACAGCAACACGCAGAGGGUGGCUAGUCAUGGCCAGAGAGUUGAUAGAGCAAGAGGGUGGCCAUGGCCAGUGCCGUACAUGGACAGAGAGAUUAAGAUAAAGAUAGAAAGGUGGCCACCUAUGUUCAGUGUCUGCCAUGGAGAGGAAGAGACUCAAAGAGAGAGACUUACAGUUGCAAUUGAAAUUCUGACGUUGGGUGAUGGCUUCACCAACUGUAGCUCCAGCCUCUAGCAAUUUCGCAGGCAUGCAACGAUGGUUGAAAUCUUCAAUUUCACAUGUGAUUUGGGAUUGAGAGAAUGGGAUUUAGGGAUACAAACGGGGUUCAGUUAGGGCUACAUGUGAAGCCCUUUUGACCAGUUUUAUUUAGUUUUUAUUUUUUUUAAUUAAAAAAACUAAACAGACUCCAUCCCUGAGGUGUACGCCUCAAGCACAGAGUGUACCACGGAUGGAGGCAUACACCUCUACCAAAUGAGGCGCAUGCUUCAAGGAUGCGUGCGCCUCACGGCAAGGCCUCAAGGAGUUUUUUUCUAAAAAACGGUAUGAGUCACAUUUUUUUGUGUGAGGCGUAUGCUUCUUACAACAUUGUUGUGAAGUAGAACAAGGCAAAGCGAUGCACUAAGCUGGUGAUGCAACACGUAGCUAAGCGAUGCAUAGUGAAGCUUAAUUAAGUUUCAUGGCAGAAAUACUCUAACAUAUUAUAUCAACAAAAAUCAUGUCAAAAAUUAUGAACAAAAGCAAAAAACAUUUUUUCUUGCGCCAAAAUCAGAAAUGAAAGAUGGCACUGUUUUGCUAUUUGCAAGAAAGUUUAAUUAGUUGUUAUUAACAAUUACACAUAAAAGUUUGUAAAAUAUUUAAUACCUUAUAAGUACUACAGAUGAAAACAAAGAACAUUACUUUGGUUUAUUUAAACAACAUACUCAUGAAAGCAGUACAAUAAAUUCACUAAAUCCAAUAAUUUUCAUCCAACAUUUACUGACUUAAUAAAUUCACUAAACUCUAUGAUUUUCAUCCAACAUUUGCUAACUUACACUAUUUCUGUCAACAUAAAAUGUUCAAUAAAUUCAACACUCACGGUUUUAUUUGAUUCUAACAUGCAGCUGAGAAAAAAAGUAAACAAAAACAAUAUGAAAUAGAAAAUAAAAAAGAUACAAGAAUUAAUUACAAAAGAGAGGGAGAGAGACGGAGAGAUAGGCAGGCACUUGAGGUUCACAUCUCGUGCGUUGAGGUGUGCACUUCAAAUACCACUGGUAAUACGCACUGGUGGUUAUGUUAUAGCAGUGCUACAAUUCACAGUUAUAGGUUUAUAGUGGUGAAAAUUUCUACUGGUGGUACAGAACACCAGUGUAAUCGUGUUUAGCGGCAAAGAAAAACCACAGAUAUAAACGUAUAUGGCGGUGACCUAAACUACCUCACCGUCAUCAGUAGGGCUGUAGCGGUUCGGUUCAUCACCGGUAUAGCUUACUGUCAUUAAAGAAAAGCACAAACAAAAUUUAUAGCCCUCAAGAAAACAUUUAUGACCUCUAGUAAAUAUUUCCAAGCCUUUCAACAAAAAUUAUGUCUCACGUGACAUGUUCCUUCCACAUCCAUGCACUAAGGGGGAACAAAACUCAGCCACGUGAUGCAAUGGUCAACUAUUGACAGAUGACAGUACCAUGCUAAUUAGAGAUUAUGGUGGCGAGGGCAAUCUGUUUUUUUGGUAAGGUUGCAAGAGUUGAAGGUAUAUAGAGGAUGAAGUUGCUCAAAAAAAUCAGAGUGAAGUCAAUUUUGUUUCACUCAACAAGAGAUUUUAUUGUAUAUAUACAAUGACAGCAGGAAGGUUUUCAUACUCUGCCUCGUAUACAGAAUCAUUCGUUCUUUAUAAAGAAUCUCAUCUUAUAAAAGAACCAAAGAAGGACGGUCUAAAAAGUUUAAUGAAUAUGAAUCUAUUUUUAGUAAUGUUUCUCGUAACAAAAAGUGUAGAUGCCUAAGAUAGCCUUAUACAUAGUUCUACUUAUUGUAUUGCAAACACGUUCAUGCUUUGCAACUUUGUACUUUUAGAAGUCCUAGAGAAGUUCCAUGUUGAAGUGUUUUGAAGAUGUUGGUCAUAUUGCUAACUGUGCUUAAUAUAGCAGAUUGACCUAUACAAAUUUAGGAAGAGGUUGCCAACACCCGCUUCUAAACAAAUGAUUAGUGAUCCAACCUAGGAGUUGGGUUUUCUUUCUACUCCAUGUUUUUUCUUUUGACACCCAUGUAAUUGAAUGCAGCAAUGUUAUUUCAAUUCGAAACCAAGCUGAUACCAUUACUAGCAUGAUGAUGUAAUAAAUGACAAUUUGUCAUUGAAAAGGACCCCUGAUGGUAUAUCAGCAUAAGCUGAGAUUCUUCUAAAGAACGAAUAAUGCAGUAUAUGAGGCGGGGUA